This is a long non-coding RNA of Ostrinia nubilalis (European corn borer), 325 nucleotides long. RefSeq lists it as uncharacterized. Lineage: Eukaryota; Metazoa; Arthropoda; Insecta; Lepidoptera; Crambidae. The transcript has 2 exons. The record is from RefSeq and is a predicted model, not a curated record.
CAUAUGGCAAUUGUCUAUGGCUUUAUGUCACCUGUCAAAGUAAAUCAAGAGAUCUGUCAGUCGCUGCAGAAAUUUUGUAAUCUCUUCAUGCCUAUUUGUUAUUUUUGUGAAAAAGUCGAAAAAGCUCAAGCAAGUCAUAUUGUUUUCAAUGAGAAUUGUAAAAUAAGGCAUAAUUCAAAGUCAAUCUAUGAUUUUAAAUCACGUCGUCGAGUUGACAGUGUAUCUCACAAAUUGGUGCAGAGGAAUGGUGAAAAUGUUAUGACCAUGUAAAGAAAAUUGAAAAAGAUUUCAUCAAGCAAGUUUGAGUAAUUGAAAUGCUGAAAGA